AGAACGAACGCUGGCGGCAUGCCUAACACAUGCAAGUCGAACGAGACCUUCAGGUCUAGUGGCGCACGGGUGCGUAACGCGUGGGAAUCUACCCUUGGGUUCGGAAUAACAGUUGGAAACGACUGCUAAUACCGGAUGAUGUCGCAAGACCAAAGAUUUAUCGCCCAAGGAUGAGCCCGCGUAGGAUUAGCUAGUUGGUGAGGUAAAGGCUCACCAAGGCGACGAUCCUUAGCUGGUCUGAGAGGAUGAUCAGCCACACUGGGACUGAGACACGGCCCAGACUCCUACGGGAGGCAGCAGUGGGGAAUAUUGGACAAUGGGCGAAAGCCUGAUCCAGCAAUGCCGCGUGAGUGAUGAAGGCCUUAGGGUGUAAAGCUCUUUACCCGGAUGAUAAUGACAGUACCGGAGAAUAAGCUCCGGACUAACUCCGUGCCAGCAGCCGC
Molecule: ribosomal RNA, 443 nt
Filed under: uncultured soil bacterium
Lineage: Bacteria
Description: bacterial SSU rRNA
Rfam family: Bacterial small subunit ribosomal RNA
Source: RNAcentral